Molecule: unclassified non-coding RNA, 250 nt
Filed under: Borreliella burgdorferi (Lyme disease spirochete)
Lineage: Bacteria; Pseudomonadati; Spirochaetota; Spirochaetia; Spirochaetales; Borreliaceae
Description: partial 5S-23S ribosomal RNA intergenic spacer region
Source: RNAcentral
GCGAGUUCGCGGGAGAGUAGGUUAUUGCCAGGGUUUUUAUUUUAUACUUUAAACUUUGAUUUUAUUUUUAUGUUUUUUAAAUAUUGGUGUUUUUGAAUGUGUUGUUUAAAUAACAUAAAAAAUAAAAUAUAUAUUGACAUGUAUUAAACAAAGAUAUAUAUUAUUUUAUGUUGUAUAAAUAAAUUGGCAAAAUAGAGAUGGAAGAUAAAAAUAUGGUCAAAGUAAUAAGAGUCUAUGGUGAAUGCCUAGG